RNAcentral lists this ribosomal RNA (692 nucleotides) under Prorocentrum minimum. RNAcentral describes it as "partial Bacterial small subunit ribosomal RNA". It matches the Rfam family "Bacterial small subunit ribosomal RNA", at positions 11 to 697 of the family's 1533-position model. Lineage: Eukaryota; Dinophyceae; Prorocentrales; Prorocentraceae. The record is from RNAcentral.
GUUUGAUCAUGGCUCAGAUUGAACGCUGGCGGCAGGCCUAACACAUGCAAGUCGAGCGGUAGAGAGAAGCUUGCUUCUCUUGAGAGCGGCGGACGGGUGAGUAAUGCCUAGGAAUCUGCCUGGUAGUGGGGGACAACGUUUCGAAAGGAACGCUAAUACCGCAUACGUCCUACGGGAGAAAGCAGGGGACCUUCGGGCCUUGCGCUAUCAGAUGAGCCUAGGUCGGAUUAGCUAGUUGGUGAGGUAAUGGCUCACCAAGGCGACGAUCCGUAACUGGUCUGAGAGGAUGACCAGCCACACUGGAACUGAGACACGGUCCAGACUCCUACGGGAGGCAGCAGUGGGGAAUAUUGGACAAUGGGCGAAAGCCUGAUCCAGCCAUGCCGCGUGUGUGAAGAAGGCCUUUUGGUUGUAAAGCACUUUAAGCGAGGAGGAGGCUACUUGGAUUAAUACUCUAGGAUAGUGGACGUUACUCGCAGAAUAAGCACCGGCUAACUCUGUGCCAGCAGCCGCGGUAAUACAGAGGGUGCAAGCGUUAAUCGGAAUUACUGGGCGUAAAGCGCGCGUAGGUGGUUUGUUAAGUUGGAUGUGAAAUCCCCGGGCUCAACCUGGGAACUGCAUUCAAAACUGACUGACUAGAGUAUGGUAGAGGGUGGUGGAAUUUCCUGUGUAGCGGUGAAAUGCGUAGAUAU